AAGUCGUAACAAGGUUUCCGUAGGUGAACCUGCGGAAGGAUCAUUAUUGAAUUAUAAGCGAUGGUUGUAGCUGGUCCCUCGGGGCAUGUGCACGCCUUAGCUCUUAAUCCACUUACACCUGUGAACUCGAGUGCCGGUUCGUCUCUCGGGACGGACGGCAUGUAUCACAUAUACUCUUGUAUGUCUCAGAAUGUCAUUUGUUGCCUUAACGCAAUUUAAAUAUAACUUUCAACAACGGAUCUCUUGGCUCUC
RNAcentral lists this unclassified non-coding RNA (252 nucleotides) under Leptosporomyces galzinii. RNAcentral's name for it is "partial internal transcribed spacer region". The stretch from base 1 to 46 matches the Rfam family "Eukaryotic small subunit ribosomal RNA", at positions 1786 to 1831 of the family's 1831-position model. The record is from RNAcentral. Lineage: Eukaryota; Fungi; Basidiomycota; Agaricomycetes; Atheliales; Atheliaceae.